AUACAAAUUAUUUAGGGAUCUUGUUAAAUGCAAAUUUUGAUUCAGUAGGUCUAGGGUAGAGCUUAAGAGUCUGGAUUUCUAACAAAUUCCCAAGUGAUAACAAU
RNAcentral lists this microRNA precursor (104 nucleotides) under Marmota monax (woodchuck). Lineage: Eukaryota; Metazoa; Chordata; Mammalia; Rodentia; Sciuridae. The record is from RNAcentral.